CCUACGGGAGGCAGCAGUAGGGAAUCUUCCACAAUGGGCGAAAGCCUGAUGGAGCAACGCCGCGUGGGUGAAGAAGGUCUUCGGAUCGUAAAACCCUGUUGUUAGAGAAGAAAGUGCGUGAGAGUAACUGUUCACGUUUCGACGGUAUCUAACCAGAAAGCCACGUCUAACUACGUGCCAGCAGCCGUGGUAAUACGCAGGUGGCAAGCGUUAUCCGGAUUUAUUGGGGGUAAAGGGAACGCAUGCGGUCUUUUAAGUCUGAUGUGAAAGCCUUCGGCUUAACCGGAGUAGUGCAUUGGAAACUGGGGGACUGGAGUGCAGAAGAGGAGAGUGGAACUCGAUGUGUAGCGGUGAAAUGCGUAGAUAUAUGGAAGAACACCAGUGGCGAAAGCGGCUCUCUGGUCUGUAACUGACGCUGAGGUUCGAAGGCGUGGGUAGCAAACAGGAUUAGAUACCCCUGUAGUC
This 465-nucleotide ribosomal RNA is filed under the name uncultured bacterium. RNAcentral describes it as "partial 16S ribosomal RNA". It matches the Rfam family "Bacterial small subunit ribosomal RNA", at positions 338 to 795 of the family's 1533-position model. The record is from RNAcentral.